GGCGAACGCUGGCGGCGUGCUUAACACAUGCAAGUCGAGCGGUAAGGCCCUUUCGGGGGUACACGAGCGGCGAACGGGUGAGUAACACGUGGGUGACCUGCCCUCAGCUCUGGGAUAAGCCUGGGAAACCGGGUCUAAUACCGGAUAUGACUCCAUGACGCAUGUUGUGGGGUGGAAAGCCUUGUGCGGCUGAGGAUGGGCCCGCGGCCUAUCAGCUUGUUGGUGGGGUGAUGGCCUACCAAGGCGACGACGGGUAGCCGGCCUGAGAGGGCGACCGGCCACACUGGGACUGAGACACGGCCCAGACUCCUACGGGAGGCAGCAGUGGGGAAUCUUGCGCAAUGGGCGAAAGCCUGACGCAGCGACGCCGCGUGAGGGAUGACGGCCUGGU
This 391-nucleotide ribosomal RNA is filed under the name uncultured bacterium. Its description in RNAcentral is "bacterial SSU rRNA". It matches the Rfam family "Bacterial small subunit ribosomal RNA", at positions 28 to 420 of the family's 1533-position model. The record is from RNAcentral.